RNAcentral lists this long non-coding RNA (512 nucleotides) under Manihot esculenta (cassava). RNAcentral describes it as "long non-coding RNA (MESC_LNC003408)". Lineage: Eukaryota; Viridiplantae; Streptophyta; Magnoliopsida; Malpighiales; Euphorbiaceae. The record is from RNAcentral.
ACUAGUAAAAACCAAAAUGACACAUAAGAUCAGAGAUCCUAAGAAUUCUAAAUUUGCAGGAAGGGAAGCUUCCCAUGCCAAAUGCUCCAAACAUUACAACAAAUUAAAUCAUUUUGUAAGUUUUUUUUUUUUUCCUUAAAUCUUUUUGUAAGUUACUAAAUAUAAAAAAUUGCUAUAAAAAUUUGUAUUUAAGUUUUUAAAUUUUAAUUUUAUUAUUGAAGUGGCGAUUUUUAUCCCACAAAAAGUCUGAUUUUUAUAAUGAAUGCAACCAAUCAUCUAAUAUUCCAAUCAAGAAUCCAAUUUAUUUAGAACAACUAAACACAUGCAUCUAAGAUUUACAACAAAAGAAUUUGUUUUAACUACACAGAUCACUUAAAUAUGACAGUUUCAGUUUACCUUUCUUACAAUGUCAAGGUGAAGAACCCCACAGAACCUCAGCAACAAUGGUAGCAGCUUCAGCAUCAGAAACAGAAGCUUCCCUAACUCUCUUCAAUAUCUCCUGUUUGAAUGCU